GGUCGCACGGUGGGAUGCCUUGGCGACCAGGAACCGAUGAAGGACGUGGGAGGCCACGAUAGGCCCCGGGGAGGUCGUCAACCAGGCUUUGAUCCGGGGGUGUCCGAAUGGGGAAACCCGGCAGUCGUCAUGGGCUGUCACCCUUGCCUGAACACAUAGGGCAAGUGGAGGGAACGCGGGGAAGUGAAACAUCUCAGUACCCGCAGGAAGAGAAAACAACCGUGAUUCCGGGAGUAGUGGCGAGCGAAACCGGAUGAGGCCAAACCGUAUGCGUGUGAGACCCGGCAGGGGUUGCGCAUGCGGGGUUGUGGGAUCUCUCUUCUACGGUCUGCCGGCCGUAGGGCGAGUCAGAAACCGUUGAUGUAGGCGAAGGACAUGCGAAAGGUCCGGCGUAGAGGGUAAGACCCCCGUAGUCGAAACGUCAGCGGCUCGUUUGAGAGACACCCAAGUAGCACGGGGCCCGAGAAAUCCCGUGUGAAUCUGGCGGGACCACCCGCUAAGCCUAAAUAUUCCCUGGUGACCGAUAGCGGAUAGUACCGUGAGGGAAUGGUGAAAAGUACCCCGGGAGGGGACGUGAAAUAGUACCUGAAACCGUGUGCCUACAAGCCGUGGGAGCGUCGGACAUCAGCUUGCUGGUGUCUCGUGACUGCGUGCCUUUUGAAGAAUGAGCCUGCGAGUUAUGGUGUGUGGCGAGGUUAACCCGUGUGGGGGAGCCGUAGCGAAAGCGAGUCUGAAUAGGCGUUUGAGUCGCAUGGUGUAGAACGAAGCGGAGUGAUCUACGCAUGGGCAGGUUGAAGCUCAGGUAAGACUGGGUGGAGGACCGAACCCACCAGGGUUGAAAACCUGGGGGAUGACCUGUGUGUAGGGGUGAAAGGCCAAUCAAACUCCGUGAUAGCUGGUUCUCCCCGAAAUGCAUUUAGGUGCAGCGUCACGUUGUUUCUUGCCGGAGGUAGAGCACUGGAUGGCCGAUGGGCCCGACAAGGUUACUGACGUCAGCCAAACUCCGAAUGCCGGUAAGUGAGAGCGUGGCAGUGAGACUGCGGGGGAUAAGCUUCGUAGUCGAGAGGGAAACAGCCCAGAUCACCGACUAAGGCCCCUAAGCGUGUGGUAAGUGGGAAAGGAUGUGGAGUCGCAGAGACAACCAGGAGGUUGGCUUAGAAGCAGCCACCCUUGAAAGAGUGCGUAAUAGCUCACUGGUCUAGUGAUUCCGCGCCGACAAUGUAGCGGGGCUCAAGCGUACCGCCGAAGUCGUGUCAUUCACACAUGAGGGCCAACGCCUGUGUGGAUGGGUAGGGGAGCGUCGUGUGCCGGGUGAAGCAGCGCCGGAAGGCAGUUGUGGACGGUUCACGAGUGAGAAUGCAGGCAUGAGUAGCGAUUCACACGUGAGAAACGUGUGCGCCGAUUGACUAAGGGUUCCUGGGUCAAGCUGAUCUGCCCAGGGUAAGUCGGGACCUAAGGCGAGGCCGACAGGCGUAGUCGAUGGAUAACCGGUUGAUAUUCCGGUACCCGCUGUGAAGCGUCAAACAUCGAACCAGGCGAUGCUAAGUCCGUGAAGCCGCCCCGGAGCCUUCGGGCAAAGGGGAGUGGUGGAGCCGACGAACCAGACUUGCAGUAGGUGAGUGAUGGGGUGACGCAGGAAGGUAGUCCAUCCCGGGCGGUGGUUGUCCCGGGGUAAGGGUGUAGGCCGGUGUGUAGGUAAAUCCGCACACCUUGUGGCUGAGACCUGAUGCCGAGCCGAUUGUGGUGAAGUGGAUGAUCCUAUGCUGUCGAGAAAAGCCUCUAGCGAGUUUCAUGGCGGCCCGUACCCUAAACCGACUCAGGUGGUCAGGUAGAGAAUACCGAGGCGUUCGGGUGAACUAUGGUUAAGGAACUCGGCAAAAUGCCCCCCGUAACUUCGGGAGAAGGGGGGCCAUCACUGGUGAGAGCACUUGCUGCUCGAGCUGGGGGUGCCGCAGAGACCAGCGAGAAGCGACUGUUUACUAAAAAACACAGGUCCGUAGCGAAGCCGUAAGGCGAUGUAUACGGACUGACGCCUGCCCGGUGCUGGAACGUUAAGGGGACCGUUAGCUCACUUUCGGGUGGGCGAAGCUGAGAACUUAAGCGCCAGUAAACGGCGGUGGUAACUAUAACCAUCCUAAGGUAGCGAAAUUCCUUGUCGGGUAAGUUCCGACCUGCACGAAUGGCGUAACGACUUCCCCGCUGUCUCAACCGCAGACCCGGCGAAAUUGCACUACGAGUAAAGAUGCUCGUUACGCGCAGCAGGACGGAAAGACCCCGGGACCUUCACUACAGCUUGACAUUGGCGUUUGGAGCGUCUUGUGUAGGAUAGGUGGGAGACUGGGAAGCUCGGACGCUAGUUCGGGUGAGUCAUUGGUGAAAUACCACUCUGGUCGUUUUGAACGUCUAACUCUGGUCCGUGAUCCGGAUCGAGGACAGUGUCUGGUGGGUAGUUU
RNAcentral lists this ribosomal RNA (2453 nucleotides) under metagenome. RNAcentral describes it as "bacterial LSU rRNA". It matches the Rfam family "Bacterial large subunit ribosomal RNA", at positions 15 to 2271 of the family's 2925-position model. The record is from RNAcentral.